AGUGAACGCUGGCGGUAGGCCUAACACAUGCAAGUCGAACGGCAGCACAGUAAGAGCUUGCUCUUACGGGUGGCGAGUGGCGGACGGGUGAGGAAUACAUCGGAAUCUACUUUUUCGUGGGGGAUAACGUAGGGAAACUUACGCUAAUACCGCAUACGACCUACGGGUGAAAGCAGGGGAUCUUCGGACCUUGCGCGAUUGAAGGAGCCGAUGUCGGAUUAGCUAGUUGGCGGGGUAAAGGCCCACCAAGGCGACGAUCCGUAGCUGGUCUGAGAGGAUGAUCAGCCACACUGGAACUGAGACACGGUCCAGACUCCUACGGGAGGCAGCAGUGGGGAAUAUUGGACAAUGGGCGCAAGCCUGAUCCAGCCAUACCGCGUGGGUGAAGAAGGCCUUCGGGUUGUAAAGCCCUUUUGUUGGGAGAGAAAAGCAGCAGGUUAAUACCCCGCUGUUCUGACGGUACCCAAAGAAUAAGCACCGGCUAACUUCGUG
This 492-nucleotide ribosomal RNA is filed under the name uncultured bacterium. RNAcentral's name for it is "partial 16S ribosomal RNA". It matches the Rfam family "Bacterial small subunit ribosomal RNA", at positions 29 to 507 of the family's 1533-position model. The record is from RNAcentral.